GGGCGUCUGCAGUGCCGCCGGGCUUUAUAUUUCCUUGAACCAAUGCUCACUGAGCAAGGGCUUGGUACAUCGUCCGGUGAGCGUGAUCAUCUCGCGUCAGAUGAACCCAACGCCUGGCUGCCCUCGCCCCCCUGAACCCCCGGUUCAGGAUGACGGUUCGGUGGUUACUGCGGACACCCC
This 180-nucleotide small RNA is filed under the name Paracidovorax anthurii. RNAcentral describes it as "Acidovorax anthurii 6S / SsrS RNA". Lineage: Bacteria; Pseudomonadati; Pseudomonadota; Betaproteobacteria; Burkholderiales; Comamonadaceae. The record is from RNAcentral.